UGGACCCCUAGCCUGGGAACCUCCAUAUGCCAGACAUGCAGCACUAAAAAGCAAAUAAAAAAUAAAUACUGUUCAAGUUAGCUUGAAGACAAGAUUGGCAAUAAACAUUUUGGUUUGACAGAUUUUCUUGUACACCUACUGUGUGCCAGGAAUGUAUUCUGCCAUCGAGCUGCCUCUCAGUUUCCAGGGCCAGGUGGAUAUUUGGAAAGAGAAAGCACGAGCCUAGAGCAUGAACGUGCAGUGUGCCAAGGGGUGUGGGAGCUGGAACCAGAACAGGAAGGAGGAUGGGAGAACAGCUCCCAGCUCCUCCUUCAUUUUUCACUCUUGAGCUCGAGUAUUGUCAAUAGAAGGUAAGGGUUACCCUGGCUUUCUUUUCUCUUAAAUUGAAAUGUGGGGAGGCCUCCUUUCUGUCUACCCUUGAUGUUAUAUCCUUCUUGGACAUGAUGAAAAGACACUGAACCACGGGUUCACGCCUAUUUGCUCAUCUGAAAUUGGGACACUGUGCAGUUCUGCAUGCCCCAUCUUAGCCAAAGUAAAGGGACUUUCUGCUUGACUCUUCUCCAGCACAAGCAGCAGUGGGUCAAAAUAAACAACCCUGGAAUCCAAACGCUGGCUCCUCCCACCAAAAAGGCAAAAUACUUCCUCUUUAAUUGAUGCAGGCCCUCAGUGUGCAGGUCACAGCGCUGCCCAUCUUCAGAGUGCGCCCACCUGCACUGGAGCAAGGUGGUGACCAGGUGGAGAAAUCCUGGUGCCCAGAGACACACGCUGCAGGAGGCCUGGCUUGAGAGCUUUUCAUCAGGGAUACUUUUAAAAAUAUCUUGUAAGUGAAGUUGGCUUUUCUUGCUUCACAGGCCUUGAUCCUGCCAGCAGGCAGCCGCCACCCCCCCUCGUUGUGUCCAUUCUCGGCGGGGGGCCGGAUCUCCAUCCGCUCUGGGCCGCGGGGGACGAAAAGGUUGAACAGCGCACCCCCAAGCCUAGAGAAGCCCAGAGCCGGGCGGGGUCGGCCGGCCACCCGCGGACACUUCCUCCAAGCCCUGCUGACCUCUAGUGGUCACGCCGUGGAACUGACAGGACCUGGGCCAGAGAGGGAAGCCAGGGUGUGUCUGGAGCCUGGGAGUUCUCACCCUUGCUUUGCACAUUAGAUUCACGUGGGACCUUUGAAAACACCCCUGGCCAGGUCCCACCGCAGGCCGGUGAAGUCAGAAUCUCUGACGAUGAAACGUCGACGUUGGUAUUUUUUUAAAGCUCCCCAGGUCAUUUUAAUGUGCAGCCUUGGUCAGACUCGGGCAUUUGCUCGUGUGUGCCAGAGCAGGGGGCUGUGAUGUCAGCAUCUGAAUGCGGCUGAAAAUGUCUGUCUUCCAGUGUGUCUCUGAAUUAGUGAGUACCCCCCCCCCAACCCGCUGCGACAGCGUGUCUCUGCUCCUGGUCCUGACUGCGCUGAGGAUCCUGUGCCGGAGUGUGUGGCUGAGCCGAGAUCAGACCCCAGGGAAAGACGCAAGGAGCAAGGGUCCUGUCAGAAGAGUUUUACAGCCUUUCCCCCAUUCAGAGAGUUCACACUCUGCUCCUGGGAAGUUCUCCUGUUGUCUCACCUCAGUCCCUUCUCAAAAAAAGUCUUGAUUGACAAAAUGCCAGCUUACCCAUCAGCACUGGUAGCAGCCCCAGGGUAGGUAGGGCUGCAGUGCCCCAGGCUCCCUGGAGGGGCUGAGCUGGUUCUCUUCAGGCUUCGCCCUCCAUCAGGAGCUAGAGAAAUGGGCUGGAAGAGAGAAGAGCCAGCACCAGUACAAUUAAAUUAAUUUCCAGCAGCUGCAUGGGAUUAAAAUGACCCACUUCUAACUGGUCUCUAAUGUUCCUGAAAACAAUCUUCUUAUCCUCCACUUCUACUCUUUCUCUUCCUCAGAAUCUCAGCUUUGGGGAAAUGUACUCCGCAUGCUUUGCACUCCUUCCCUGUAGGCGUGGGCCAGAGGGCACAGCCCUGGUGAGAGCCACCCCAGGGAACAUCUCCAUCCAGGCCAAGGAACCAUUUGGGAGAAGGUAAGUCAUUAAGUUGUCCGUGGAACCCAGACUGGAUAGUGCCCAUUUCAGAGCAAAGCCAUGGCUGAGAAGAGGGGAGCCCCUCGCACCUGAGCACUGGCUCCUUGCACACUGGAGAAUCAGCAGGGAGUUCCUCCUCUAUCUAAUUUUUGCUGUAGCCACCAGGCACUGCCUUGCACAUUCGCAUCCAGAGGAUAAGCAAUAGCGGGAUGCUUUGCCCUCCCGCGAUGACCUUCUCAGACGGGCCCUCCGAGGCACAUCUCUCCAUCCUCCUGAGGUGUCACUUCCUGCUGUGGCCACCCCGAUGCCCACCUUCCACAUGGGAGGACUGGCAAGGCCCGGGGGCAGCAGAAUGUCUUCGUGUCACAAGUCAACACUGGCAUAUAUACGUCACUUCCCUAUUUCUGCUGAAAACACCCACUGCAGAUAGAACUGGGAGACGAAGCCCCGAGACAGGGUUCGAGCAGAGAAGGCAGCCGCACCAGGCGGCUGAACUGCAACAGAGCAUGAGGGCCAGGGAAUCAUGGGAGAAUCCCGACUAUAUCCCUCACCCCAUGGGCAGCUCACCCCCUCACCUUGGGCGGUGCUGGCUGUAGUUGGCCUCAUACCACGAAAGUAGAGAAGUAAGAGGGGGGACCAUGGAAGUGAAAACAACCCCCAAAGAGCGGAGAGGAAGAUGAGUAAAAAUCCUAGCUGAUGGGAAUAUUGACUUAACCAUUAUGGGAGUAAAUAAAACUCCCAUUUAUGUUAUGCAAGUGCUCUAUUCUUUGAGUUCUUCUGUCUGGAGGAAUUUUUAUUUCGCCAUAGAAGAAAAAUGUUUUCAUAUUCUCUCCCGCCGCUUCAGACCCAGAACCCAGCGAGGCCGUGUGCCCCCGAGAGCCAUAAUAUUAUUUGUUAACAUUUUUAUGAUGCCAAAUGGUCUGUAGGAGAACGGGCGCCAUUCUUUAGCUGGGAAACCAUAUGGCACGACGAGUAAUAAAUAAGGUAUUGUGAUAGUUAAUGAACCUAAUUGCCAGCAAAGGCUUUAAUACAGAGACUGUGCUGCUGAGAAUUUAGCACCACAUUAGGGAUGCCGCGGAGCUCCCCUGACUUCUGAGGCUUAAUUUAAGUUCUAUAUUGCAAACUCCAGAAAAUAAUUCCAAACCCUCCUGCUGGAAAAGCAACCUGCUGGUAGACUGUGAUUAUACCGAAUUACUAAAAUCGCAAUCAAUUUUCUACACACGGUUAACCCUUGCCAGGAAGGACUCACGGGGAGGAGAGGGAUCAGGACGGCAGCCCGUUCUACCUGUGGCUCCGUAUUGAGGACAGCGAGAGGCAGGAAAGGAGUGGUGCCUGAAGAAAGGGACCAGAGCCAGCUCCAGACCAUGCAAGGAGAAAAGAGAAACACAAAUGCUCUCCCUGGUAAGCAAUUGACAGAACGCAGAGAUUCCACUUAAACAGCAAGCAAGAUGGAGAGGUGAAAGGAGUGGGCGUUGACCAGCCCAAGGGCACAGAUGGCACACCUGAGGCAUGGAGGAACUGAGUGACUUGGCUCAGACCACACAGGCAGACAAUGCGUGAGCCUGGAUUGGAACCUGGGUGGUUUGGCUCCAAAGUAUAGACCCUUGACCUCUUCUUUGUUGUGCAGCCCCACCCCCACCCACCUUCCACUGCAACUGCCUCCGCUGGCUUCGGAACCCCCAGUCCCAUGUCCUCCAGUUCCGUGGCCCUGAUCACCAGUGUUCGUGUGACAUGCAGAGCUUUGUAGGAAAUGAAAUGGCCAGAAAAUGACGGUGGUGUCAGAGCGCUCUUAGAGAGGACCAGGGACAGAGACUAUGACCCUGGAGACUGUGGGGUGUAGCAACAAGCAUCAGGACUUGGAGCAGAAGACCCAGCUCCUCCACCUGCCACCUGAGUGACCGGGGCAAGUGCUUUAGGCUGAAUAUUCGUGACCCCCAAGUUCGUACAUUGAAGCCUAACUCCUGAGAUGCUUUUUGGAAGUGGGGCUGCUGGGAGGUCAUUAGGCCAUGAAGGUGGAGACCUCACGAAUGGGAUUAGUGCCCUCGUAAGAAGAGACGUGAGAGAUACGAUCCCUCUCUUGGCCUGGUGAGGACAGCCAAGAGACUGGAUCUGCUGGGGACUUGACCUGGCCUUCCCAAGCUCCUAGAACUCGGAAAAUCAAAUUGUCGUUUAAGCCACUCCAUCCGUGGGAGUUUUGUUAUGGAAGCCUGCAUAGUAGUAGAAAGCUAUUUAAUCCUUCUGAGUCUCAGUUUCCUUAUCCAUAAAACGAGGAUAACUCUGUUGUGGGCUGAAAUAUACCCUCUGCCACUCCAAAUUCAUAUGCUGAAUUCCUAACCCCCAGCAUCUCAGCAUUUGAUGUGUUCCGAGAUGGGGCCUUUAAAGAGCUCAUUAUGGUGAAAGGCCCCCAAGCCAGUUCGUCCGGUGUCGUUAUAAGAAGGGAGAUUAGGGCACAGAAGGCGCAGGCAGAAGAGGAUAUUUAGACACAAGGAGGAGAAUUCGGCAUCUGUGAGCCAAGGAGAGGGCCCUCGGAAGAGACCAGCCCAGCUGACACCUUGAUCUUGGACUUCUAGUCUCCAGAACAAUGAGAAAUAAAUUUCUGUUGUUUAUUCAUUGAUUUUGUUUGGGGUCUUAGUGCAGAAGGCUGUUACCUCCACCGGAUCUGUGCAUGGUCUGCCCAUAUUUGUUUCUUCUUCUCAUUUCCAUACCUAGAGUGACGACCAUAUAUGUUUAUCAUACAAACAGGAACACUUUUGAGCAGAAAAAGAAGCACUUUAAUAACUGCUAUGCUGGGAGCUCAGGUGUAAACCAGGACACACGGUUCUUGCCCACUUCCCUGUCUGUUCCCGUGUCCUUCUAACAACCAUUCUAUUUUGUUUAAUUUGUGUGUCUUUUUGUUAGGGCUGCACCCGCAGCAUAUGGAGAUUCCCAGGCUAGGGAUGGA
Sus scrofa (pig) is the source of this 4972-nucleotide non-coding RNA. The record is from RefSeq and is a predicted model, not a curated record. Lineage: Eukaryota; Metazoa; Chordata; Mammalia; Artiodactyla; Suidae.